AUUAAAACGCUGGCGGCAUGCCUUACACAUGCAAGUCGAACGGCAGCACGGGGCAACCGUGGUGGCGAGUGGCGAACGGGUGAGUAAAGCAUCGGAACGUGCCCUGGAGUGGGGGAUAACGUAGCGAAAGUUACGCUAAUACCGCAUAUUCUGUGAGCAGGAAAGCAGGGGAUCGCAAGACCUUGCGCUCUGGGAGCGGCCGAUGUCGGAUUAGCUAGUUGGUGGGGUAAAGGCCUACCAAGGCGACGAUCCGUAGCGGGUCUGAGAGGAUGAUCCGCCACACUGGGACUGAGACACGGCCCAGACUCCUACGGGAGGCAGCAGUGGGGAAUUUUGGACAAUGGGCGGAAGCCUGAUCCAGCAACGCCGCGUGAGGGACGACGGCCUUCGGGUUGUAAACCUCUUUUAGUAGGGAAGAAGCGAAAGUGACGGUACCUGCAGAAAAAGCACCGGCUAACUACGUG
This 464-nucleotide ribosomal RNA is filed under the name uncultured bacterium. Its description in RNAcentral is "bacterial SSU rRNA". It matches the Rfam family "Bacterial small subunit ribosomal RNA", at positions 32 to 507 of the family's 1533-position model. The record is from RNAcentral.